Molecule: transfer RNA, 69 nt
Filed under: Fistularia petimba (red cornetfish)
Lineage: Eukaryota; Metazoa; Chordata; Actinopteri; Syngnathiformes; Fistulariidae
Description: tRNA-Tyr
Rfam family: tRNA
About the family: Transfer RNA (tRNA) molecules are approximately 80 nucleotides in length. Their secondary structure includes four short double-helical elements and three loops (D, anti-codon, and T loops).
Source: RNAcentral
GGUAGGAUGGCUGAGCUUAAGCGGUGGAUUGUAGCCCCACAGACAGGGGUUUGAGUCCCCUUCUUACCA